Molecule: ribosomal RNA, 484 nt
Filed under: uncultured bacterium
Lineage: Bacteria
Description: partial 16S ribosomal RNA
Rfam family: Bacterial small subunit ribosomal RNA
Source: RNAcentral
AGUGAACGCUGGCGGCAGGCCUAACACAUGCAAGUCGAGCGGCAGCGGGUCCUUCGGGAUGCCGGCGAGCGGCGGACGGGCGGGGAAUACAUCGGAAUAUGCCCUGUCGUGGGGGAUAACCUAGGGACACUUAGGCUAAUACCGCAUACGACCUACGGGUGAACGCGGGGGAUCGCAAGACCUCGCGCGACUGGAUGAGCCGAUGUCCGAUUAGCUAGUUGGCGGGGUAAAGGCCCACCAAGGCGACGAUCGGUAGCUGGUCUGAGAGGAUGAUCAGCCACACUGGGACUGAGACACGGCCCAGACUCCUACGGGAGGCAGCAGUGGGGAAUAUUGGACAAUGGGCGCAAGCCUGAUCCAGCCAUGCCGCGUGGGUGAAGAAGGCCUUCGGGUUGUAAAGCCCUUUUGUCCGGGAAGAAAACGUGUGGGCUAAUACCCCGGGGGGAUGACGGUACCGGAAGAAUAAGCACCGGCUAACUUCGUG